CCUUGGCUCAGAACGAACGCUGGCGGCAGGCCUAACACAUGCAAGUCGAGCGCUGUAGCAAUACAGAGCGGCGCACGGGUGAGUAACACGUGGGAACGUGCCCUUUGGUUCGGAAUAACUCAGGGAAACUUGAGCUAAUACCGGAUGAGCCCUAACGGGGAAAGAUUUAUCGCCGAAGGAGCGGCCCGCGUUGGAUUAGCUAGUUGGUGGGGUAAAAGCCUACCAAGGCAACGAUCCAUAGCUGGUUUGAGAGAACGACCAGCCACACUGGGACUGAGACGCGGCCCAGACUCCUACGGGAGGCAGCAGUGGGGAAUCUUGGACAAUGGGGGAAACCCUGAUCCAGCCAUGCCGCGUGAGUGAUGAAGGCCCUAGGGUUGUAAAACUCUUUCGGCGGGGACGAUAAUGACGGUACCCGCAGAAGAAGCUCCGGCUAACUUCGUGCCAGCAGCCGCGGUAAUACGAAGGGGGCUAGCGUUGUUCGGAAUUACUGGGCGUAAAGCGCGCGCAGGCGGUUCUUCAAGUCAGAGGUGAAAGCCCAGAGCUCAACUCUGGAAUGGCCUUUGAGACUAGAGAACUAGGGUACGGGAGAGGUGAGUGGAAUUCCGAGUGUAGAGGUGAAAUUCGUAGAUAUUCGGAAGAACACCAGUGGCGAAGGCGGCUCACUGGCCCGUUACCGACGCUCAGGCGCGACAGCGUGGGGAGCAAACAGGAUUAGAUACCCUGGUAGUCCACGCCGUAAACGAUGGAUGCUAGCCGUUGGCGCGCUUGCGCGUCAGUGGCGCCGCUAACGCAUUAAGCAUCCCGCCUGGGGAGUACGGUCGCAAGAUUAAAACUCAAAGGAAUUGACGGGGGCCCGCACAAGCGGUGGAGCAUGUGGUUCAAUUCGAAGCAACGCGAAGAACCUUACCAGCCUUUGACAUCCCGGUCGCGAGCACCAGAGAUGGAGCUCUUCAGUUCGGCUGGACCGGAGACAGGUGGUGCAUGGUUGUCGUCAGCUCGUGUCGUGAGAUGUUGGGUUAAGUCCCGCAACGAGCGCAACCCUCGUCCUAUGUUGCCAGCGGUUCGGCCGGGGACUCAUAGGAGACUGCCGGGGUCAACUCGGAGGAAGGUGGGGAUGACGUCAAAUCAUCAUGCCCCUUAUGUCUAGGGCUGCACACAUGCUACAAUGGCCGGUACAAAGGGCUGCGAAGCCGUGAGGUGGAGCGAAUCCCAAAAAGCCGGUCUCAGUUCGGAUCGGGGUCUGCAACUCGACCCCGUGAAGUCGGAGUCGCUAGUAAUCGCAGAUCAGCAACGCUGCGGUGAUACGUUCCCGGGCGUGCA
This 1323-nucleotide ribosomal RNA is filed under the name uncultured bacterium. RNAcentral's name for it is "bacterial SSU rRNA". It matches the Rfam family "Bacterial small subunit ribosomal RNA", at positions 17 to 1387 of the family's 1533-position model. The record is from RNAcentral.